RNAcentral lists this ribosomal RNA (329 nucleotides) under Clostridioides difficile. RNAcentral's name for it is "bacterial LSU rRNA". It matches the Rfam family "Bacterial large subunit ribosomal RNA", at positions 1339 to 1665 of the family's 2925-position model. The record is from RNAcentral. Lineage: Bacteria; Bacillati; Bacillota; Clostridia; Peptostreptococcales; Peptostreptococcaceae.
GUAAACCCAAGGUUUCCAGGGGAAGGUUCGUCCGCCCUGGGUUAGUCGGGACCUAAGCUGAGGCCGAAAGGCGUAGGUGAUGGACAACAGGUUGAUAUUCCUGUACUACCGAUAACCGUUUGAGAGAAGGGAUGACACAGUAGGAUAAGCUAAGCACACUGUUGGUUAUGUGUGCCCAAGCAUUGAGGCAGUCAAAGUAGGCAAAUCCGCUUUGAUAAUGCUGGGAUGUGAUGGGGAGCGAAAUUUAGUAGCGAAGUAGCUGAUUUCACACUGUCAAGAAAAGUCUCUAUCGAGGUUAAAGGUACCCGUACCGCAAACCGACACAGGUG